This 252-nucleotide ribosomal RNA is filed under the name uncultured bacterium. Its description in RNAcentral is "partial 16S ribosomal RNA". It matches the Rfam family "Bacterial small subunit ribosomal RNA", at positions 524 to 776 of the family's 1533-position model. The record is from RNAcentral.
GACGAACCGUGCGAACGUUGUUCGGAAUCACUGGGCUUAAAGGGCGCGUAGGCGGGUUCGAAAGUCUGUGGUGAAAGCCUCCAGCUUAACUGGAGAAGUGCCAUGGAUACUGCGAACCUGGAGGAGGGUAGGGGCAUCUGGAACGCUGGGUGGAGCGGUGAAAUGCGUUGAUAUCCAGCGGAACUCCGGUGGCGAAGGCGAGGUGCUGGACCCUUUCUGACGCUGAGGCACGAAAGCCAGGGAGCAAACGGG